RNAcentral lists this ribosomal RNA (253 nucleotides) under uncultured bacterium. RNAcentral's name for it is "partial 16S ribosomal RNA". It matches the Rfam family "Bacterial small subunit ribosomal RNA", at positions 524 to 776 of the family's 1533-position model. The record is from RNAcentral.
UACAGAGGGGGCAAGCGUUGUUCGGAAUUACUGGGCGUAAAGGGCGCGUAGGCGGCCUGUUAAGUCGAACGUGAAAUCCCCAGGCUCAACCUGGGAACUGCGUCCGAUACUGGCAGGCUUGAAUCCGGGAGAGGGAUGUGGAAUUCCAGGUGUAGCGGUGAAAUGCGUAGAUAUCAGGAGGAACACCGAUGGCGAAGGCAGGUCUCUGGGCCACUACUGACGCUGAGAAGCGAAAGCAUGGGGAGCGAACAGG